This 192-nucleotide ribosomal RNA is filed under the name Triticum aestivum (bread wheat). Its description in RNAcentral is "partial small subunit ribosomal RNA". Lineage: Eukaryota; Viridiplantae; Streptophyta; Magnoliopsida; Poales; Poaceae. The record is from RNAcentral.
AUGACCACUGCGGGUUACCUUAAUAUAUUGGAAUUUAUAACAAAGACACUAUUCGAGACAUUAUUUCAGAUAAAAGACAAAAUGGGUACUGUGGCCCAGCUAUUUGGACGUUCUACAAGCUUUCCAUUCUACAUGAUCCAACCUUCAAAGGAAGUUGUCGAAAAUGAAAAUUCUACCAUCACUGCCUGCUGA